Molecule: ribosomal RNA, 424 nt
Filed under: uncultured bacterium
Lineage: Bacteria
Description: bacterial SSU rRNA
Rfam family: Bacterial small subunit ribosomal RNA
Source: RNAcentral
UGAGGAAUAUUGGUCAAUGGACGCAAGUCUGAACCAGCCAUGCCGCGUGCAGGAAGACGGCUCUAUGAGUUGUAAACUGCUUUUGUACGAGGGUAAACUCGGAUACGUGUAUCCGUUUGAAAGUAUCGUACGAAUAAGGAUCGGCUAACUCCGUGCCAGCAGCCGCGGUAAUACGGAGGAUUCAAGCGUUAUCCGGAUUUAUUGGGUUUAAAGGGUGCGUAGGCGGUCGGAUAAGUUAGAGGUGAAAUCCCGAGGCUCAACUUCGGAAUUGCCUCUGAUACUGUUCGGCUAGAGAGUAGUUGCGGUAGGCGGAAUGUAUGGUGUAGCGGUGAAAUGCUUAGAGAUCAUACAGAACACCGAUUGCGAAGGCAGCUUACCAAGCUACUUCUGACGUUGAGGCACGAAAGCGUGGGGAGCAAACAGG